AACGAACGCUGGCGGCAUGCCUAACACAUGCAAGUCGAACGAAGCCUUCGGGCUUAGUGGCGCACGGGUGCGUAACGCGUGGGAAUCUGCCCCUUGCUUCGGAAUAACAGUUAGAAAUGACUGCUAAUACCGGAUGAAGUCUUCGGACCAAAGAUUUAUCGGCACGGGAUGAGCCCGCGUAGGAUUAGGUAGUUGGUGGGGUAAAGGCCUACCAAGCCGACGAUCCUUAGCUGGUCUGAGAGGAUGAUCAGCCACACUGGGACUGAGACACGGCCCAGACUCCUACGGAAGGCAGCAGUGGGGAAUAUAGGACAAUGGACGCAAGUCUGAUCCAGCAAUGCCGGGUGAGUGAUGAAGGCCGUAGGGUUGUAAAGCUCUUUUACCAGGGAUGAUAAUGACGGUACCUGGAGAAUAAGCACCGGCUAACUCCGUG
RNAcentral lists this ribosomal RNA (433 nucleotides) under uncultured bacterium. Its description in RNAcentral is "partial 16S ribosomal RNA". It matches the Rfam family "Bacterial small subunit ribosomal RNA", at positions 29 to 507 of the family's 1533-position model. The record is from RNAcentral.